UACGUAGGUGACAAGCGUUAUCCGGAUUUAUUGGGCGUAAAGCGCACGCAGGCGGUCUAUCAAGUCUGACGUGAAAUCUCUCGGCUUAACCGGGAGCGGUCGUUGGAAACUGAUGGACUUGAGGCGAUGAGAGGGGUGUGGAAUUCCCGGUGUAGCGGUGAAAUGCGUAGAGAUCGGGAAGAACAUCGGUGGCGAAAGCGCUCUACUGGACCGCAACUGACACUCAGGGACGAAAGCUAGGGGAGCGAAUGGG
RNAcentral lists this ribosomal RNA (253 nucleotides) under uncultured bacterium. RNAcentral's name for it is "partial 16S ribosomal RNA". It matches the Rfam family "Bacterial small subunit ribosomal RNA", at positions 524 to 776 of the family's 1533-position model. The record is from RNAcentral.